UACGUAGGGUGCAAGCGUUAAUCGGAAUUACUGGGCGUAAAGCGUGCGCAGGCGGUUAUGUAAGACAGAUGUGAAAUGCCCGGGCUUAACCUGGGAAAUGCAUUUGAGACUGCAUGGCUAGAGUUUGGCAGAGGGGGGUAGAAUUCCACGUGUAGCAGUGAAAUGCGUAGAUAUGUGGAGGAACACCGAUGGCGAAGGCAGCCCCCUGGGUCAAGACUGACGCUCAUGCGCGAAAGCGUGGGGAGCAAACAGG
RNAcentral lists this ribosomal RNA (253 nucleotides) under uncultured bacterium. RNAcentral describes it as "partial 16S ribosomal RNA". It matches the Rfam family "Bacterial small subunit ribosomal RNA", at positions 524 to 776 of the family's 1533-position model. The record is from RNAcentral.